RNAcentral lists this ribosomal RNA (467 nucleotides) under uncultured bacterium. RNAcentral's name for it is "partial 16S ribosomal RNA". It matches the Rfam family "Bacterial small subunit ribosomal RNA", at positions 28 to 507 of the family's 1533-position model. The record is from RNAcentral.
GAUGAACGCUGGCGGCGUGCUUAACACAUGCAAGUCGAACGGAAAGGCCCAAGCUUGCUUGGGUACUCGAGUGGCGAACGGGUGAGUAACACGUGGGUGAUCUGCCCCGCACUUCGGGAUAAGCCUGGGAAACUGGGUCUAAUACCGGAUAGGACAUAGGUUUGGAUGCCAUUGUGGAAAGUUUUUUCGGUGUGGGGUGAGCUCGCGGCCUAUCAGCUUGUUGGUGGGGUAAUGGCCUACCAAGGCGUCGACGGGUAGCCGGCCUGAGAGGGUGUACGGCCACCUUGGGACUGAGAGAAGGCACAGACACCGACGGGAGGCAGAAGGGGGGAAGAUUGCACGAUGGGCGCAAGCCGGAUGAAGCGACGCCGCGGGGGGGAUGACGGCCUUAGGGUUGUAAACUCCUUUCGCUAGGGACGAAGCGUUAUGUGACGGUACCUAGAGAAGAAGCACCGGCUAACUACGUG